RNAcentral lists this ribosomal RNA (465 nucleotides) under uncultured bacterium. RNAcentral's name for it is "partial 16S ribosomal RNA". It matches the Rfam family "Bacterial small subunit ribosomal RNA", at positions 338 to 795 of the family's 1533-position model. The record is from RNAcentral.
CCUACGUGAGGCAGCAGUGGGGAAUUUUGCGCAAUGCUCGUAAGAGUGACGCCGCGACGCCGCGUGAAUGACGAAGGCCUUCGGGUCGUAACGUUCUUUCGACAGGGAAGAAAAUGCCUAUAAGUAACUGUGUCUGUAUUGACGGUACCUGUAUAAGCAGCCCCGGCUAACUCCGUUCCAUCAGCCGCGGUAAUACGGAGGGGGCGGGCGUUGUUCGGAGUGACUGGGCGUAAAGAGCACGUAGGCGGUGUUGUAAGUCAUUAGUCAAAGACUAGAGCUCAACUUUAGUAAGGCUAGUGAUACUAUAAUACGAGAGUAUCAGAGAGGAUUGCAGAAUUCCUGGUGUAGCGGUGAAAUGCGUAGAUAUCAGGAGGAAUACCGUUAGCGAAGGCGGCAAUCUGGCUGGAAACUGACGCUGAGGUGCGAAAGCGUGGGUAGCAAACAGGAGUAGAUACCCCUGUAGUC